AGACACUCAAAAGAUCCUUUAGGAAGCAGCGAUUAUUUUGUUAACUUAGUGCUACAUUAAACUAAGUUUAUUCAUCUUGGCAAAAAAAUAUGGUGAUCUCCCUGGGUAUAUUUUUGUCAUCCAAGGAGCAAACUGUGGUCUAUGAAGAAAAACUGACCUGGAAAAGGAGGGCAACAUAUCCCUGCAACAGGUGUCUGCAGAGGAAAUGCUAGAAGAACAAAAGGCAGAACAGGGGACCUAGUUGGAGGCAGAAGAGAUGGAAGUUCAGGAUCUCAAGCAUUGAGAAGUCUCUCUUGCCCAAGCAGAUGUUCUCGGUGAUCAU
This 322-nucleotide long non-coding RNA is filed under the name Homo sapiens (human). RNAcentral describes it as "non-protein coding lnc-NUDCD2-9:1". Lineage: Eukaryota; Metazoa; Chordata; Mammalia; Primates; Hominidae. The record is from RNAcentral.